CGCCAACCCAAUUGAAUAGCCCAUAUCUUACUUGACUACUAACUACUCAGAAGUCAGACCUCGGUGGCUGCUUCCCCUCUCAACCCUAAAUCUUCGUAUCUUCUACGUCCUGCGACCACGAAAGAGAUAUAGCGAUGUCAAUGGAGAAUCCUCCAGGGAAACAAGGAGUUGAGUCACUAUCUCUUACUGCAGGGGAUGAAUCCUCCUCUUUGAAUCCGUUGAAUUGUACCACACAGAUGAGUGUCGAAGAAAAAUUCAGGAUUGUGAGGAGUAUUGGAGAAGAAUGCAUCCAGGAGGAAGAACUGUUGAAUCUUCUUACCAAAAAGCCCCAACCCAUCUGCUACGAUGGGUUCGAACCCUCUGGGCGAAUGCAUAUUGCUCAGGGUGUUAUGAAGACGAUUAAUGUUAAUAAACUGACUUCAGCUGGUUGCAAAGUAAAGAUUUGGAUAGCAGAUUGGUUUGCUCAAUUAAACAACAAAAUGGGUGGAGAUUUAAACAAAAUCCAAACUGUUGGACACUAUUUAAUUGAGAUCUGGAAAGCUGCAGGCAUGAAUUUGGAAGAUGGUAAAGUAGAGUUUAUUUGGUCUUCUGAAGAAAUCAAUUCAAGGGCACAUGAAUACUGGCCAUUAGUCAUGGACAUUGCUAGAAGAAACAAACUUCCUAGAAUAAUGAGGUGCUGUCAAAUCAUGGGUCGAAGUGAGCAGGAUGAACUCACUGCAGCCCAAAUCUUCUACCCUUGCAUGCAAUGUGCUGAUAUUUUUUUCCUCAAGGCUGAUAUCUGUCAAUUAGGGAUGGAUCAAAGAAAAGUUAAUGUUCUUGCAAGGGAGUACUGUGAUGACAUCAAAAGGAAAAACAAGCCUAUUAUAUUAUCUCAUCAUAUGCUUCCGGGUUUGUUACAAGGACAAGAAAAGAUGUCAAAAUCUGAUUCUUCUUCUGCUGUUUUUAUGGAGGAUGAAGAGGCUGAAGUUAAUUUAAAGAUAAAGAAAGCAUAUUGUCCACCCAAUAUUGUUGAUGGAAAUCCAUGUCUUGAGUACAUUAAAUACAUUGUAUUCCCUUGGUUUAAUGAGUUCAAAGUUGAAAGGAAAGAGGAAAACGGAGGUGAAAAGGUUUUUACCAGUUAUGAUGAAUUAAUUGCUGCUUAUGCAAAAGGGGAGUUGCAUCCUGCUGAUUUGAAACCUGCGUUAUCCAAAUCUUUGAAUAAGAUAUUGCAGCCUGUGCGUGACCAUUUCAAGAAUGAUGAGAAGGCCAAGGCUCUACUGAAGAGGGUUAAGGCUUUCAAAGUUACAAGAUGAUGGAAGUCUUUUAGUGAGUGGAUGAGAAGAUGGGAGUUUACUUAUAUUAAACAAAUUGUUCAAAUUUUCUUCACAUAUGAUAUUAUUAUUAUUUAUAUUUUGCAUCAACUAGUAGCACUUGAAACACAGUUUGGUUUUAAUUAUUUGGGAAGAAUAAUAACAUACUUUUACUGCAUAAGAAAAUAAUUAUUUUGGAAGAAAUAA
Molecule: RNA transcript, 1496 nt
Organism: Lactuca sativa (garden lettuce)
Lineage: Eukaryota; Viridiplantae; Streptophyta; Magnoliopsida; Asterales; Asteraceae
Gene name: tyrosine--tRNA ligase 1, cytoplasmic
Source: RefSeq, a predicted model, not a curated record